GCGCUUGGGACAACAAGCGUCGGGUUUGGCGACCUGGAACGAAGGCGGAUGAGACCGCCGCCCUAGGCGGUAUUUUU
RNAcentral lists this small RNA (77 nucleotides) under Burkholderia cenocepacia. RNAcentral describes it as "isrK". Lineage: Bacteria; Pseudomonadati; Pseudomonadota; Betaproteobacteria; Burkholderiales; Burkholderiaceae. The record is from RNAcentral.